ACAAACGACAUUUAUAACCUCCUGGAGCGAGGAGCAGCCAGGAGGCGCACAACAGACACUCUAUUGAACAAACGCAGCAGCCGUUCUCACUCUGUUUUUAGCAUAACUAUUCAUGUCAAAGAAAUGACUGUUGGAGAUGAGGAGCUCAUUAAGUGUGGCAAGCUCAAUCUUGUUGAUUUAGCAGGAUCAGAAAAUAUUUCUCGAUCAGGUGCACGAGAGGCUCGUGCAAGAGAAGCGGGGGAAA
Nicotiana tabacum (common tobacco) is the source of this 244-nucleotide non-coding RNA. The record is from RefSeq and is a predicted model, not a curated record. NCBI's taxonomy places the organism in Eukaryota, Viridiplantae, Streptophyta, Magnoliopsida, Solanales, Solanaceae.